CAAGGCCUGGAAACCUCCUGAUUUUGUUAAGGAAAAGAGUGUUCCAGUUAAACCCCUUAAAAGAAAUACAUUACAGGAAAAGCAUCUUGACUUCCUUACUACUCACCAUCAAGAGUUCAAGGUUCUUGAGGAGAACCUUGUAAGCUUGAAGGGUCCAUAGGACUUUAGAUUUCUCCAGUAUUCCCAGGAAAGCAACAAAUGUGGCUGUCCUCCAUGUCAAGAAGGCACUCCCUCCUAGUAGAAUUCCUCUCUUCCUACAAGAUGCAGCUGAGGCACUACCUUCUACAAAGAAACCUUUCCUGAUACCCCCAAAUUAAGUGCCCUCCCUUCCAAACUACCUUGUAUUUUAACUACUUUGUAUUUAUUAUCUAUAUGGUUAUUUAUAUACUGGCUUUUACCAUUAAAAUAUAAGUUCUCUGU
This is a long non-coding RNA of Gracilinanus agilis (Agile Gracile Mouse Opossum), 420 nucleotides long. RefSeq lists it as uncharacterized. NCBI's taxonomy places the organism in Eukaryota, Metazoa, Chordata, Mammalia, Didelphimorphia, Didelphidae. The transcript has 2 exons. The record is from RefSeq and is a predicted model, not a curated record.